Molecule: non-coding RNA, 149 nt
Filed under: Deltaproteobacteria bacterium RBG_13_52_11b
Lineage: Bacteria; Deltaproteobacteria
Description: partial 16S ribosomal RNA
Rfam family: Bacterial small subunit ribosomal RNA
Source: RNAcentral
AAACUGGAGAGUUUGAUCCUGGCUCAGAACAAACGCUGGCGGCGUGCCUAACACAUGCAAGUCGUACGAGAAAUCCUGGGCAACUGGGAGAGUAAAGUGGCGCACGGGUGAGUAACGCGUGGGUAACCUGCCCUUGAACUGGGGAUAAC